Molecule: long non-coding RNA, 596 nt
Filed under: Rhinopithecus bieti (black snub-nosed monkey)
Lineage: Eukaryota; Metazoa; Chordata; Mammalia; Primates; Cercopithecidae
Description: lncRNA (ENSRBIG00000045284.1)
Source: RNAcentral
CUAGGCAGGCCGAUCCUCCGCAGCGGCACUCCCUUUCAUUCUUCCCCUCCCACCACACACACACACUCACACACACACACCCGGACCCAGACAGCCCACUCCACUUUCCAGACGCCCACCUCCUACAUACUCCCCUCCCCUAAACAGACAUUCACCCACUCGCCAUCUGUAGCCUCCUUCCGCCCCCCGCCCCGCCCGCCUGGCUCCCCCUCCCCAAGAAGCAGACCUGCACAGUGGGACCCAGGGACCCCCGCCAGACGCUCGGGUCGUGCACGCCGCACUGACCUCGGCCCGCCCCGCCGGGAAACUAACAAAGGCGGGCGAGAGCCCGGAGCCCAGGAGCCGCGAGCGGCGGCCGUGGGGCCAGGGAGCCUGGGCCGGGCCGGGCGGGGACUACUCCGGAGUCAGGAGGCAGCAGCUGCGGAGGAAGCGGAUCCCUGGCAGUCAGCGCCGCUCGGACGCUGCCGGCACCAUGGGCUGCUGCACCGGACGCUGCUCGCUCAUCUGCCUCUGCGCGCUGCAGUUGCUAUCAGACAAUGGAGGUUAUGAGGCAGUGAACUAACGAGGGUGUUGAAAGAGGAUGACAUUGGGAGAAC